AGCAGCCGCGGUAAUUUCAGCUCCAAUAGCGUAUAUUAAAGUUGUUGCAGUUAAAAAGCUCGUAGUUGAAUUUUGGGGUUAGCAGGUCGGUCGUGCCAUUGGUAUGAACUGGUCUCGCUGAUCCCUUCCUCUUGACGAACUGUGAUGCCAUUAAUUUGGUGUCGCAGGGAAUCAGGACUGUUACUUUGAAAAAUUAAGUGUUUAAAGCAGGCUCACGCUUGAAUACAUUAGCAUGGAAUAAUGAAAUAGGACGUUUGAUCCUAUUUUGUUGGUUUCUUAGGAUCAACGUAAUGAUUAAUAGGGAUAGUUGGGGCAUUAGUAUUCAAUUGUCAGAGGUGAAAUUC
This 344-nucleotide ribosomal RNA is filed under the name uncultured Glomus. RNAcentral describes it as "SSU rRNA". It matches the Rfam family "Eukaryotic small subunit ribosomal RNA", at positions 569 to 919 of the family's 1831-position model. Lineage: Eukaryota; Fungi; Glomeromycota; Glomeromycetes; Glomerales; Glomeraceae. The record is from RNAcentral.